GACGAACGCUGGCGGCGUGCUUAACACAUGCAAGUCGAACGGAAAGGCCCUGCUCUUGUGGGUUUCUCGAGUGGCGCACGGGUGAGUAACACGUGAGUAACCUGCCCUUGACCUUCGGGUAACUUCAGGAAACUCGGGCUAAUAUCCGAUAGGAUCUCCUGCUGCAUGGUGGUGGUUGGAAAGUUUCGGCGGUUGUGGAUGGUCUCGCGGGUUAUCAGCUUGUUGGUGUGGUAGUGGCUUACCAGGGUUUUGACGGGUAGGCGGCCUAAGAGGGUUAACGGGCACAUGGGGACUGAGGUACGGCCCAGAAUCCUACGGGAGGCAGCAGGGGGGAAUAUGGCGCAAUGGGCGGAAGCCAGAGACAGCAGCGCCGCGUGCGGGAUGACGGCCUUCGGGUGGUAAACCGCUGUCGCCUGUGACGAAGAGUGAGUGACGGUAAUGGGUAAAGAAGCAACGGCUAACUACGUG
This 468-nucleotide ribosomal RNA is filed under the name uncultured bacterium. RNAcentral describes it as "partial 16S ribosomal RNA". It matches the Rfam family "Bacterial small subunit ribosomal RNA", at positions 28 to 507 of the family's 1533-position model. The record is from RNAcentral.